AUGUCGUCAAUUUCCAAUUUUAGGUGUUCAAGAAAGUUGGGAAUCCUAAACAAUGGAGCUGUCUACGCAGUUUUCGAUUAUGAAGCCCACAAUGCAGACGAGCUAAGUUUCCGUGAAGGAGACCGGCUCAUAGUCCUGAGGAAAGGUGAUGAUGUGAGAAAGAGUGGUGGUGGUCUCGCCUCAAUGAUAGAGAAGGAUAUAUUCCACGCAAUCUUUUGGGGCUCUAUCCAAGAGUUCGGCCAAACAAGGCUGCUGAAUGACAUCGGCUAGAAAACACUUGAAUUUUUUUGUUUGUUAUCAGUUUGUUACUCUGUUAAUUCUUUGAUUCUUUCCUAUGUAGCUAGUACAUAAAUCUAGUUCUAAUAAAUUAUUGUUAAAAAGUUGGAAAUAUUUGUAAAUAACUCAGCUCUCUGAAAUGUAAGUCAUGAAUCUUGAGUAAGAUUUACUGCUAGUCCUUAGAGGUUAGUUCAUUUAAAUUGAGCAAAUUUGAUUUGUCACUCAAGUGUAAUUUUGAAUUUAUUCUUUCUCAGCAUGUUGCUUGACCUUUUCUCUGAUUUUCUAUAAUCUUGUUUUCAAACAUAUCUCAGCGAUUUUUCUUAUGUAGGUAGUUAUGUAAGCACUGCUUUUCAUUUAUCCAUUUUGAAAUUUCAAUCAUAUCAAUUUUCGAAAACUCUGUCCUCUAAACAAUAAGAAGCUAUACUUGGACGUAUUUCUAUCAAACAGACCUAUGUGCAAGUGAGAAAUAUGGGGUGUGCUCUAGAAAUCUGCAUAAGAAGCAAUGUAAAAGUGGGCGUGGUUCCUUUUGAAGAAUUGGAAAAGCGGGAUAUUGCAUUCUAUCAAAGAGACCUAUGUGGCAACUGGAUGUGGAAGUAAUGAGCCGCGGGCAGGGCAAGAGAGCCUUGUGGACAGGGCUCAUGAGUUAGAAGUGAAGCACGGCAGCACGAGCACGGCAAUCCUCCCGCCGCGCUCCGUCCCCGUCAUUGCCGCUGACGUCACUGGCGCUUUAUUAUUCUCAUUCACUCUUACGCCAAGAGAACUAACGAGCACACCCCAUAUUUCUCACUUCCACAUAGGUCUGUUUGGUAGAAAUACGUCCACUUAUGAAUCCAAAAUGAAUGAAUAAAUAUCAUAUCGAUGGCGAAAGUGCGAAACCUCGUAUCUCCGUUUUCAAGGCUGCAGACUUCCCGUCAGACUUUAUUUUUUCAUUGGAAAACUAGUCCCUUUAAUUUCUUGAAAACCGCCUUCAUUUUUCCUCUCUAUUAGCCGAAUAUUUCGUAUAAAUUUCAAGCAAUACAGUCGACUUGUUUCCCUUUGUAAAAGUAAAAUAAGAUGAGAGAUUUUGAGACAUUGCAAUGAAGAUAAGUGGUUUCGCACUGUAGCCGCCGAAUGGAACCUUAGGUUUGGUAGUUGGGGUUCGUCUGUAACGCACAGUAAAUUAUCAGCAAAGAAAGCGCUAAAGUAGGUAUUAUACAAUACUCAUUAUCUUCCCCGGUGCUCUUAUCCAAGGAAUAUAAUCUUUUUAAAAUUCCAGCUUCACGCUUGGUGUGCAUCAAUGGUAUUUAGCCUGCUGCAGUUUUGGCUAAAUUAUCUUCCUUGGCCCUUAAUAUCUGCUUAAGCUCUGGAGUUGUAAGUUGUAAGAGUCUGUUCUGUGAAGUUGUAAGUGUUGUGUCCUGGUUCUUUUUUGAACGGUUUUUGACACACAUUUUCAUCCGAAAGUAUAAUUUUAUGCGGCAACCGUUCGGCAUUUUUAAAUAAAAUGUUAAGCAAUUUUCGGACCGAUCACAUGCACAAAUCAGGAAAAUAUUGGAUGGAAAUUGCACAGACAAGGAAGAAAAGUUAUCAGAAAAUUUAUUAUUGAGUUUUUUUUAACCAUCGUUAAACAUUUUAUCCAACAUGACUAUCACUUUUAUGUUUUUAUAUAUGUGUUACUUUUAACACAUCUCAUUUCUAUGUAUUGAAAUAAUUAAUGUAGCAGUCUAAAGGAGAGAAAUAACUGCAAAAAGAUGUUGUCUUCAUUGAAGAACUCAUGAUUCACACUGGAAAAAAUUAGAAAGCUCAGGGUAGGAUUUAGGGAGUCACAUAAUGAGGCAAAGGUCUAAUGGCCUACAACUAAGUGGACUUUUUUCAAUUUUAAUGUAUUGAUCCUCAAUCAAUAUUACACCAUGGAUAGAGUAUUUUGCUCAAUUUCUCUCAGCCAUGUGGCUAAAGUCCAGACAUUACUAAGAGGCUGAGCGGGAGCAACUUUCAUAAUUCUCAAAAUUAGAGCAGUAAAAGACUUUCUCCCAAAAAAUUUUGAAAUUUUAACCCUUCUGUAAUAAAUUGGAAUACAUCUCUUGUUAUCCUGGUCUCUUUUUUUCUCACUAAGUUUCAAAGCAUGUUUCCAAUUUCUUUCAGAAGGGUUAAAAUUUCAAAAUUUUUUUGGGUGAAAGUCAAAAGUUGAUGAUCCCUUUGAUAAGAGUCAUUUACCUCCUCCUUCGCAAAUGAUCAAAGAUCGCUAAAAACCUGUUAUGUUAGGUGCCCUACACCUAAAUCCAGCCCUGAAAGAGCUAAAACAUAUUGUUUUAUUAUGUAGUUCUAAUAGAUCUGGUUCAAAAAUCAAUUUUAUCUGUUUGAUUGUCAGGUGGAAAAAAUUGUAUUCAUCAAUUGAGACUUUUACAACAUUUUGGCCAGUUUUUAAUUACGCAAAAGAACUUCUUAGCCAAUAAGUAAAGGCAUUAUUUGAGAAUUUUUGAGUGUCGCUGAAAUCACUGAUUGUGUUACAGCAAAGAUGAUUGCCAAGCUAGAGUUAUCAGUUGAAUUGAAUGUUCGAGUGCCUUUUCCAAUUUUUUCAAGUCUGAUUAUUUUCCGUUUUCAAAUUUUAUUAGGUAUGACUCUUUUAUCGUUACGGUUACUCAAUUUUGAAUACCUCUUGUUCUAUUUGUUGGUCGCAAUGUAUGAUACUCACUAAGAAAAUCACUGUAACAAUGAUCAAAAUUUAUAGGAAAAGAAUUUCAUAAACAGUGACAAUAGAAGUUUGAACAUUUUUAAAGAGAAGGUUAAAUCUCUUGACUCUUUAAUUUGGGGAAAAAGUGAAAAUCUGAGAAUUACAUACAGCUGAGUAAAUAAAAUUGUAAGCAGCAUUUUGAACUUACGAAGGCAAAGGAAUUGAGUCUUGUAGUUUGAUGCUUUUACAAUUUAUAAAUGAUCAACAUCGCAUGAUACAAGCUCUGCUGGAAAUCAUUAUCCUUUUUUUUGCAUUUUAUUAUUUUUUUUUCAAUGUUUUGAUGUUCAUCUUAGAUGCCCAGUGAUUUCUUGUGAUCCUCUUUUAUCAUCCGCACAGUGCCUUAUGUUUUAGUAUCUGAGCAUAUAAAUUCCAGUUUAAGAACUCCAUUGAUUUAUCCAUAAUACACACCUCCUUUUUUUCCAUUUUCUUCCCAUCUUUUCCUCUCGCAAAUUUAUCGGAUUUUUUUUCAAAAAACGUUUGUUAUUUUCAGUAAAAAAUAAUAGUUAACAGGCUGUACUCAUGGAUAGUAUUUAUGCUUCGAAUCAAGAGGACAUUUAUUCUAAAGACCAGAAAUAGGCAGUUUCCAAUCAUUCAAAAUCAUCAAAAUAUAAUUUCAUAAUUUUUGUCUCUUAUCUACUUUCAUAGAAAUGUUUUCUGCUUUGCUAAGGGAGAACGCUGUAUGAGCCUUCAGACGUUGCCAAAUUUCCUUUGAAAAAAAAUUCAGGGAAACCCGAAUAUUUUUAAUGCAAUAUUCCAGAGAAUUUUAAUUGCAAUCAGAUUUAAAUUAUCUGAAUAUUUUCAAGAGAAAAUAUUUAUAUUUCUCCGUUAAAAAUGAACAUUUUUACUGGAGAAAAUUUGGCAAUUUUGAAUGUUUAUACAGCGUUUUCUCUUAGCAGGAUAGUUUUGGCCUAUGAUUAAUUACUUUGAGUGUUCCCAUUGUGUAAAAUUGUACAUAUCUAUAUUUAGAUUGAAUUUUCAAAUUCACUCUUACCUGUGUAUACUUUUCAACAUCAAAUUUAAUUACUAAUGUAGGUGGGUAUCUACGUGUUUAAUCCCAAUACGUAGAUGCCUUGCUGUGUAUUAUAGUAUUUUUAAAAUGUUUAUUUUGAUUAAAAUAAAGAAAGAAGUCAGAGCUUGUGAAAUGGCAAAAAACUAAAGCAUACCUGUUUGUUUCAUUUUAUAUUGUGCCUUUUUGUUUGGCCAGUUUAUUUGAAGUUUUAUCCAUGUUUGAAUCAAAUGUUUUACAUAAAUAUUAAAAAGUGAGAAAAAAAAUGUGAACAAAUUCCAAAUUAAUUUGUUUUUUGCAGCCAAAAUGGCUUCAUUAAGUUAUAAACUAUAUUUUGAAAACUUAAAC
This 4337-nucleotide long non-coding RNA is filed under the name Bemisia tabaci. Its description in RNAcentral is "lncRNA ENSSSA3NGG012958". Lineage: Eukaryota; Metazoa; Arthropoda; Insecta; Hemiptera; Aleyrodidae. The record is from RNAcentral.